UAGUUUUUGAUGAAGAGGAGUAGUAAUUAAAAGUAAAGUACAGAGAGUCGGUGAUGGUGGAAAUCCGAUGUCCAAUUUUAAUGAAGACACCUCGGAGAUAACAGGCUGAAGUUAAAGUAGGUCUGUUCGCUUAAAGCGUUAUAUUUACUUGAGUGAGGUAUGUGUUUAUAUAUCUAACUUAGGGUGGCAACACGGGAAUAAAACCUCUCGUCCCUUUA
This 218-nucleotide non-coding RNA is filed under the name Sporanaerobacter sp. RNAcentral's name for it is "T-box sequence". It matches the Rfam family "T-box leader". From Rfam's summary of the family: Uncharged tRNA acts as the effector for transcription antitermination of genes in the T-box leader family. T-boxes are found upstream of many aminoacyl-tRNA synthetase genes and some amino acid biosynthetic genes usually in Gram-positive bacteria. The record is from RNAcentral. Lineage: Bacteria; Bacillati; Bacillota; Tissierellia; Tissierellales; Sporanaerobacteraceae.